UACGAAGGGGGCUAGCGUUGCUCGGAAUCACUGGGCGUAAAGGGUGCGUAGGCGGGUCUUUAAGUCCGGGGUGAAAUCCUGGAGCUCAACUCCAGAACUGCCUUUGAUACUGAAGAUCUUGAGUUCGGGAGAGGUGAGUGGAACUGCGAGUGUAGAGGUGAAAUUCGUAGAUAUUCGCAAGAACACCAGUGGCGAAGGCGGCUCACUGGACCGAUACUGACGCUGAGGCGCGAAAGCGUGGGGAGCAAACAGG
Molecule: ribosomal RNA, 253 nt
Filed under: uncultured bacterium
Lineage: Bacteria
Description: partial 16S ribosomal RNA
Rfam family: Bacterial small subunit ribosomal RNA
Source: RNAcentral